CGACUACGGAACAGACCCGAACGUUUUACAGUCCCGACUCCACAGGGCAGGGUGAUGGCUAACGGCCACCCGGGGUGACCCGCGGGACAGUGCCACAGAAAACAAACCGCCCGGCGCUCAGGCGCUGGGUAAGGGUGAAACGGUGGUGUAAGAGACCACCAGCGCCUGAGGUGACUUGGGCAGCUAGGUAAACCCCACCCGGAGCAAGGUCAAUGAGCGCCGUGAAAGGCGCUCUGCGAGGACGUUCGAGGGCUGCCCGCCCGAGUCCCCGGGUAGACCGCACGAGGCCGGCGGCAACGCCGGCCCUAGAUAGAUGGCCGUCUCCCCGGCCGCCGCGAGGCAACCGGGCGACAAAAUCCGGCGUACAGCCCGACUCGUCUG
This 381-nucleotide RNase P RNA is filed under the name Streptomyces liliiviolaceus. RNAcentral describes it as "Streptomyces sp. BH-SS-21 RNase P RNA component class A". It matches the Rfam family "Bacterial RNase P class A". Rfam says of the family: Ribonuclease P (RNase P) is a ubiquitous endoribonuclease, found in archaea, bacteria and eukarya as well as chloroplasts and mitochondria. Lineage: Bacteria; Bacillati; Actinomycetota; Actinomycetes; Kitasatosporales; Streptomycetaceae. The record is from RNAcentral.